This 433-nucleotide ribosomal RNA is filed under the name uncultured bacterium. RNAcentral describes it as "partial 16S ribosomal RNA". It matches the Rfam family "Bacterial small subunit ribosomal RNA", at positions 29 to 507 of the family's 1533-position model. The record is from RNAcentral.
AACGAACGCUGGCGGCAUGCCUAACACAUGCAAGUCGAACGAGACCUUCGGGUCUAGUGGCGCACGGGUGCGUAACGCGUGGGAAUCUGCCCUUGGGCUCGGAAUAACAGUUGGAAACGACUGCUAAUACCGGAUGAUGACGUAAGUCCAAAGAUUUAUCGCCCAAGGAUGAGCCCGCGUAGGAUUAGCUAGUUGGUGAGGUAAAGGCUCACCAAGGCGACGAUCCUUAGCUGGUCUGAGAGGAUGAUCAGCCACACUGGGACUGAGACACGGCCCAGACUCCUACGGGAGGCAGCAGUGGGGAAUAUUGGACAAUGGGCGAAAGCCUGAUCCAGCAAUGCCGCGUGAGUGAUGAAGGCCUUAGGGUUGUAAAGCUCUUUUACCCGGGAUGACAAUGACAGUACCGGGAGAAUAAGCUCCGGCUAACUCCGUG